AACAACUAAAAAUCAUUCAUAAAUUUAGAAUAUUGAAUUUAAUACUACUUACAAUAAAAAUUUCUAAAACAUUAUUAGGGUUUUUAUUAUUAAAGUUUAUACUUGUCCUUAAGACAUUAGGGCUUAUUACAUGUACUAUGAAUGCGCAAGGAAUUAGAAGUGUAUUUUUUGAUGGUUUUGCUUGGAAUUGGAUUAGGAAACCCAA
RNAcentral lists this long non-coding RNA (205 nucleotides) under Vigna radiata. RNAcentral's name for it is "long non-coding RNA (VRAD_LNC011153)". The record is from RNAcentral. Lineage: Eukaryota; Viridiplantae; Streptophyta; Magnoliopsida; Fabales; Fabaceae.